Molecule: unclassified non-coding RNA, 493 nt
Filed under: Hevea brasiliensis (rubber tree)
Lineage: Eukaryota; Viridiplantae; Streptophyta; Magnoliopsida; Malpighiales; Euphorbiaceae
Source: RNAcentral
GGAGAGAGAUGAGAGGGAUAGAGGAGACAAUGGGGGUAAUUUAGGUAUCAUCGUAUGACAAUCUGUUUUAUACAAAUUCAAUUUAAAGAACAGGAACAACAAAAAAUUCAUUUUCAAGGGAUAUGCUCGGUUCUCCACAGUCCUGGAACUGUUUGUUCCAUCUGGGUUUCAUUAACUGGUUGCACAUGUCAUUUACAUCCCUACUGUUUACAUGGCCUCGAAUAGAACCCGAUGCUCCAGAAGAUCUGAUAAAACACCCCUCAUCUUGUCAACAGAGACAGGUUUCAGUAUUACACCAUCCAUGCCGACCUUCAUGCAGUUUUCCUUUGUCACCUUGUUUGCGUUUCCAGUAAGCGCCACUAUUAAUGGCCUUUCAUGACGUUUUGUGAAUCUUUCAUGUAUGCGGAUAGCAACUUCAAAACCAUCAGGCAUGCACACAUCCAUAAAUACCACCUUGUGGUCCAGAGAAACUACUCGUAAACACUCAUCGCUG